GUUCCCAUAGCUUACACCAACCAAAGCAUGGCACUGAAGAUGCCAAGACGGCGACCUCACAUAUCCCUGGGAAC
Molecule: transfer RNA, 74 nt
Filed under: Lophoceros camurus (red-billed dwarf hornbill)
Lineage: Eukaryota; Metazoa; Chordata; Aves; Bucerotiformes; Bucerotidae
Description: Tockus camurus (red-billed dwarf hornbill) tRNA-Phe
Source: RNAcentral